Molecule: non-coding RNA, 2136 nt
Organism: Oryza sativa Japonica Group (Japanese rice)
Lineage: Eukaryota; Viridiplantae; Streptophyta; Magnoliopsida; Poales; Poaceae
Source: RefSeq, a predicted model, not a curated record
UUAUUAAUUGAACUAUUUUGAUGUUGUAAAUAUUACUAUAUUUAUCUAUAAAACUUGGUCAAACUUAGAUUAGUUUGACUUUGACCGAAGUCAAAAGUAGUUUGACUCUGACCGAAGUCAAAACAACUUAUAGCCUGAAACGGAGUUAGUAUUAGAGCCAGCAUCUUGAAAUAUAGGAUGUGCUUCUAUGCUUCUAAAAAAACUACAUGAAAAUCAAAGCACAUUAGUUGCUGAGAUUAAAAGCGGGAUUAAUACUUAAUCACCAUUAGCGAGGGGUAUUUUCAUCCACAGAUUUGGAGCCCAUGUCCAGCCCAAUCCAUCUGAAGUGAUCGGGCCCACCCCUACCAGUCCACCAUGACACCGAUUCCUUCCUCCACCAGCGAGGGCUGCGUCAUGGCCGCCUCUGGCGACAUGCUGUAGAUGUGCCCGCUUGUCAAGGAAUAUCAGCGAGGCCUAUGAAAUAAUGGCAAAAAAAUGUGUUUAACAAAUAAUCCAGGGAGAGGCCCUCAUACCAAAUGGCUUGAUGAUACAGUUAUUAAUGUUGACUUAUAAUGUUGCUUAUUAUCCAUGAUAACCUUUGUGACGUGCUUACUCAUGAUAACUUGGUUUAUUGCAUAUUGUAUACUCUUACAGUCUAAUAAUAAAGGAACGUCGCAACGCCAUUGACCACGGGAAAAAAACAUUCAAUGUUUUUUAUCCAACUGUUCUUAAUUGGAUGGCGAACAAUGUAUAACAUUCUCGUAAAGAUGGUCGGGGAAGUCAAACAAGCGUUAAUCGAGCUCUCGAUAUUGCACAAAGUGAUUUGAUUAAAGUAUAAAAAACGAUUUGGAUGUGGCUACUUGUCAAGGCAUUCGGAUGCCAAAAAUUCGUGACUGGAAACUCAAGCAAUUCCACAAAGUUCCGAAACAAAAUGAUUUGCCCUACUGAUAUUCCUUGACGAGCGGACACAUCCGCAGCGCGUCGCAGGAGGCUGUCGUGACGCAGCUCUCGCUGGCGGAGGAAGGAAUCAGCGUUGUGGUGGACUGGUGGGGGUGGGCCAGAUCGCUUCAUAUCGAUUGGGCUGUUCAUGGGCUCAAAAAUCUGUGGAUGAAAAUACCCCUCGCUAAUGAUGAUUAAGUGUUAAUCCCACUUUUAAUCUCAGUCACUGAUGUGCUUUGAUUUUCGUGCAGUUUUUCUUUUAGAAGCAUAGAAGCACAUCCCGCUAAGGUCGCUAAGGUAUUUGGUGGUUACAAUAAGUGGCUCUUUCUUGAUGUAUCUAUCCAUGGGGUGCUUGUCGACGCAACUCCUAGGUGUGUUUGAUCAUCCGAAGAAGAAUUGUAUUGAAAAGUGCUUUUGUAACUGGACAUAGGUCUUCGGUGCUUGUUCAAUAUUUCAGAAUGCCCCUACAUUCAGAGAACACAUCCCACUAAGAGCUUCCCCCGUCCAGAAGCUUUUAGACGUAAAAGGACAUGGGAUCAGGAUCAAACGGAGAUUGAAGAGCCUACCUUGCAUCACCUCGUGACAGUGAUCAUUAAACGAUUUCGUUGGGCUCGACUGCGAGGUUGCUCUUGUUGGACUGCUACUGAGCUGGUCACCUUCUUUAGAUGAACUGAAGAUAUUCAAGGUCAAGGGUGAUGAGAACGAGGACGAUGGCAGGGUUGGAAAUUCCGGAACAAAAUUUCCGAGUCAUUUUGGACCCCUCCGAUACAAUAUUAUUUCAGCUGAAAUUUUUAAUUUUUUUAAUUUUUCCGUGAAUUUUGGUAAUAUUUGUUCAAAAUUUCAGAAAUUUCGGAAUUUCGGUGAGUACCGAUCAAAUCGGCUAAACCGAAAAGUUUAACCCUGGGCGAUGGCAUGUGCAUGUGCAAGGCCAAGAUCACUGUCAUCUGAUUCAUAUACCUCCCGGUCAUAUACCUUUCGGAAUUGCUGCGUUUCCGCUUCAUGUUGACAUUGCUAGGGGCAUAAAUACUGUUACUUAGUCUCUGUCCUGGGAUGGAUGUUGGGGGCUAUACUUGCGCUAAUUUUAUCUCUGUCCUGGGAUGUCGAGGGUUAAACUUUCCGUUAAAUCUAAAUUGUAGGUGUCUCUUUGAGUUCUCUAUAUUUUUUUCCUUUAAACUGGGCAUGCCUGGUUCAGAAUGAAUGUUCUUGUUUCGAGAAUUA